UACGUAGGGUGCGAGCGUUAAUCGGAAUUACUGGGCGUAAAGGGUGCGCAGGCGGCGUCGCAAGUCAGGCGUGAAAUCCCCGGGCUUAACCUGGGGACUGCACUUGAAACUACGAUGCUGGAGUAUGGCAGAGGGAGGUGGAAUUCCACGUGUAGCGGUGAAAUGCGUAGAGAUGUGGAGGAACACCGAUGGCGAAGGCAGCCUCCUGGGCCAAUACUGACGCUGAGGAGCGAAAGCGUGGGGAGCAAACAGG
This 253-nucleotide ribosomal RNA is filed under the name uncultured bacterium. RNAcentral's name for it is "partial 16S ribosomal RNA". It matches the Rfam family "Bacterial small subunit ribosomal RNA", at positions 524 to 776 of the family's 1533-position model. The record is from RNAcentral.